This 8966-nucleotide long non-coding RNA is filed under the name Aquilegia coerulea. RNAcentral describes it as "long non-coding RNA (ACOE_LNC002025)". The record is from RNAcentral. Lineage: Eukaryota; Viridiplantae; Streptophyta; Magnoliopsida; Ranunculales; Ranunculaceae.
UAUUGAAAAAAAUUAUUCUAUUGUGGAAGAAUUAAAAAAUUACAUUUUCGCAUCAAAGUAAAAUGUCGGAACGAAACCUCCCUUUUUUGCAGUUUAUGCCUAUUUGAAACCGGCACGAAGUGGUUUGACAUCAAUUUUGUGACAAAGUGUCUUUGGUUAUCUCGCCUUGAAUUCAUUGUUAGGAAAACCAAGAUGUACGCAUGGUCGUCUCGUGUCCUUGUGUCUCUUAGGUCUGUCCAGGAAAAGUUAUUAGGUUCUGGACGUACCUACCGGAUUAGGACGUACGUACGUCCACUGAAGCAGCAAACAUCUUUUGGUCAGGACGUACGUACGCAGUUAGGACGUUCGUACGUCCAAGUAGGCAGCAGACGUGUUUUCGUAUGGAGACGUACGUACCGAGUUAGAACGUUCGUACGUCAUGGUAGGCAGCAGGCUUAUUUUUGUGUGGCGACGUUCGAACGUCAUAUCGACGUACGAACGUCCAAAGUCGGUUUGCACUGUUUCGGCCCAUUUUCCUUGGUUUCCAACCCUAAGUAUAAAAAGGGUUUCUCUUCCAAAGAACAAGUCAGUUCUUUGGCCGUCCAUUCUUCUUCUAGUUCAUGUGUUUUGGUUAGGUUUUUGAUAUUGAAAGUGUUUGUGGCUAUUGAACUCAAUUCCCUUCCUUCCCCCUUUUCUCAAUUCAUAUCUUUGUGAUCUUCAAGAGUUAUUGUGAAUUCGGCUUCGAGUCUUCUUGUGUGUUCAUCAAGAAGUCGAGUGUCUUGUGCGUACAUCAAGGUGCUCUGGUGAAGUCAAGGUGUUAGAGAUAACCAGGAGUAUCAACUCGCAGUGAGUGCAGGUAGUUGAUAGGUUUGUACAUCUCUUUUCAUCUAGUGGAUUAUUUUGUUGUCGCGAGGACAACCGUGGACGUUUCCCUGUUUGGGUUUUACCACGUUAAAAAUCUCUAUGUGUUAUUUACUUUCUGCGUAUUGUUUGUUUGCUUGUUUGAAUUCACAUUUGUUAUACUAGCACUAUUUGUAGUUUCUUAAUUGGUAUCAGUCGCUGGGGGCUGGUUAAGGAGCGUAAAGGCUCACGCUAACGAUCAAUAGUGCUAUGGAUUACUCUGGUAAGACACAUGUCUCGGUUGUUGCUCGACUGUCUGAUGAGCAGUCAACUGACAGUAAAGAAUGCUCUAGUAAUUGUGACAGGGAUUUGAUUCUGGUGGACAAUAAUGAUUGGGCUACCCUAUACCGGUUAUCCAGAAAGGAAUGCCUAAGGUUGGAGGCACAAAAUUGUAUUCUUCAGGAUAGACUUGACUUACUGUCUUCUAGUUCCUCAUCUAUGUCAAUCCUGGAUAGGGAACCUGUAUCAUGGCAGGUUGAUAAGGUGGCUUUACUGGGUAAUAUUACUGCUCUUGAGCAUGACAAGGUCGAAUGGGAAUCUCGGUAUAAGAUUGUGUCCACAGAACUAGACAAGGUCAAAAAGGAGCUGAUUCGCUUUCAGUCGUUCGAAAAGUGCAAUGGGUUGUCAUCUUCUGAAUUACCUCCACUGUUGCCCCAUCCUCCUACCAAAAAGUCCGACAUUCAUCACUCUGUGGACACGGUUGGCAUCCGGCGUAAGUGGAAACUGUUCAGGCGUGUUCCGCCUCAGGGAAGGAAACGUAAAAUGCCGUGCUCACUAUGCGGACAGUUUGGACAUUGGGCCUCGCAGUGUGGUGUGGCUGCUCAUGUUCCACAAUCAUGGAAGCCGUUUUCACAACCGUCGUAUGAUUAUCCAUCUUAUCCAUAUGCCUCUUACUCUUUUCCUUGUAACUUUGCAGGAAAUGUUUCAAAUGUGGCGAUUACUGCCCUUCAUGUCUCAAGCUCGGAUAGUGAGUGGUUACUUGAUAGUGGAGCUUCAAAACAUAUGUCAGGUAAUGCCAAACUUUUCUCCUCCGUUACUGCUAUAGAUGGUGGAAGUGUUACUUUUGGGAAUGGUAAGAGCUCUCCUGUGAUUGGUAAGGGAUUUGUCGCUGGUAUUGGUUUAUCUCCGAAUGAUGUUUGUUUGUUAGUUGAUGGUUUGCGUGUAAAUUUGAUCAGUAUUAGCCAACUGUGUGAUACUGACCAUACUGUUAAUUUUUCCAAAAAUAUAUGUACCGUGCUUGAUAGUUCGGGUAAGUGUAUCAUGACAGGUAAACGAACAUUGGAUAAUUGCUAUGCCAUUCAGCCUGUUGCAUCUAGCAUAAACUGCUUACCUAGCAAACUAAAUGAUGGUCUAUUGUGGCAUUAACGACUAGGUCAUGUCAACUUUGAACACCUGGACAAUCUAACUCGGAAUGAAUAUAUUAAGGGAGUUCCUAGACUUGGAAGAAAUCGAGACACUGUGUGUGGUGGGUGUCAACUAGGUAAACAGAUACGCAGUCCACAUUCCAAGAAAAAAUCCAUAACCACAUCUUCUCCUUUAGAACUCAUACACAUGGAUCUGAUGGGUCCUACUCGUACUCCUAGUCUAGGAGGCAAACGAUACAUCUUGGUUAUGGUUGAUGAUUACACUCGCUUUACCUGGGUAUCAUUCUUGCGUGAAAAAUCUGAUGCGUUUCUUGAGUUUCAGGGGAUAUGCCUUCGUAUUCAGAACGAGAAAGAUACUCAAAUUAAACAUAUCAGAAGCGAUAGAGGCGGUGAGUUCACAGCCACAGGUGUGAUUGAGUAUUGUAUUGCAAAUGGUACGUGGCAAGAAUUUUCGGCUCCAUACACUCCGCAACAAAACGGAGUCGCUGAAAGGAAAAAUCGUGUUAUUCAGGAGAUGGCUCGUGCUAUGUUGCAUGCAAAGGAUGUUCCGACCAAGUUUUGGGCGGAAACGGUUCAUACUGCUUGUUACAUAAUGAACCGUGUAUAUCUAAGAUCUGGUACCACACAAACUGCUUAUGAGCUAUGGUAUGGUAAGAAGCCGAAUCUCAAAUAUAUGCGAGUUUUUGGUAGUGUGUGCUAUGUGUGCAAGGACAGACAAAGUCUGUCCAAGUUUGAUAGUCGAGGUGAAGUAGCUCUUUUACUUGGUUAUUCUUCUAACAGUAGGGCCUUUCGAGUGUUUAACUACACCACUCGCAAGGUCAUGGAAUCCUUUAAUGUUGUUGUUGAUGACACUAUUACAUCUGACUCUUCUGUUUCCACUGGUACACAGGAUGUCACAGUUCUCUCACCCGUGUCAGACCCGGCUGACAUGUCUUCCAUAUCGUUAUCAUCACCUGAUAAUGGCAAUGGUGGUACUAAACCUUCUGAUGCUGCAGAGGACGUGCCUAGUAGGACCGGUGCUGUGCUCACACCGGACGAUGUAGUUCAAUCACCAGAGGUGAUUGAUGUGUCUUCAGAUCUCUCCACUGUCCCUGCUGACCCUGAAAGGGUGUUUAAUCUAGCUUCACCUCGUGUCAAACAAUAUCACUCCUUAGGAGAUAUCAUUGGGGAUAUUAAUGAUCAACGUCUGACUCGUCGGAGGGCCAAGGAGACAAAUUGUGUUCAUUAUGUUUGUUAUCUCUCUUCUCUUGAACCUAAAAAUGUUACUGAUGCUCUUAUUGAUGAUGAUUGGCUAGUUGCUAUGCAGGAAGAUCUCGGUCAGUUUAAGCGUAGUGAUGUCUGGACGUUGGUUCCUAGACCUACUCACACUAAUGUGGUUGGCACCAAGUGGAUCUUUAAAAACAAAUUGGAUGAGUUCGGACAGAUUGUGCGCAACAAGGCAAGGCUCGUAGCUCAGGGCUACAGUCAGAUUGAAGGUAUUGACUAUGGAGAGACAUUUGCUCCCGUGGCUAGGUUGGAAUCUGUCAGGCUUCUUAUUGCUAUGGCAUGCCACUUGAAUUUCAAGUUGUAUCAAAUGGAUGUAAAAAGUGCAUUUCUCAAUGGUAUUCUUAAUGAGGAGGUCUAUGUUGAACAACCUAAAGGGUUUGUGGAUCACACUUUUUCGAAUCAUGUCUUCAAAUUGCAAAAAGCACUGUAUGGGUUAAAGCAGGCUCCUCGAGCUUGGUAUGAACGUCUGACCUCCUUCUUACUGGGAAAAGGAUUUGUUCGUGGCAGUGUUGAUCGGACUCUGUUUAUACUGAGAAAGAAUAAUGAUGUUCUUCUCGCCCAAGUCUAUGUGGAUGAUAUAGUGUUUGGAUCGACGUGCCCAAGUCUUUCUGAAUCUUUCUCUCAAUUAAUGAGCUCUGAAUUUGAAAUGAGUUUAAUGGGAGAACUUAAUUUCUUUCUUGGCUUGCAGGUCAAACAGUUUGAUCAUGGAGCUUUCAUUUCUCAAACAAAGUAUGCUAAAGAACUGGUUAAAAAAUUCGGUCUCAGCACUUCCAGUGGUCAAGAUACUCCCAUGGGUGAGAGGGUACGUCUUUGUAAGGAUAUUAUGGGUAAGUCUGUUGAUAUUCGUGAAUAUCGGAGUAUGAUUGGUAGUCUUUUGUAUCUCACUGCUAGUCGUCCAGAUAUUUCUUAUAGUGUUGGGGUAUGUGCAAGAUUUCAGGCUAACCCUAAAGAAUCUCAUCUCAUUGCGGUUAAGCGUAUUAUUCGGUAUGUUGCUAGCACUCUUGACUACUGGUUAUGGUUCACCAGAGAUACGAAUAGUGUUGUGGCAGGUUAUUGUGAUGCUGAUUGGGGUGGUAAUCUUGAUGAUCGUCAUAGUACCAGUGGUGGCUGUUUCUAUGUUGGGAAUAAUCUUGUUUCCUGGCAUAGCAAGAAACAAUCAUCUGUAUCCAUCUCUUCAUGUGAGGCUGAGUAUAUAGCUGCAGCUAGUGCAUGUACACAACUUCUGUGGAUGCGUCAGAUGCUUCGGGAUUAUGGCAUUCAACAGCAGGCGAUGGACCUGUUCUGUGAUAACACCAGUACCAUUAGCAUUUCCAAGAAUCCUGUUCAACACUCACGCACAAAGCAUAUUGACAUUCGUCACCAUUUCCUUCGUGAGGCGGUCGAAAAGGGUGAUAUAGUAAUGGAGUUCAUUCCUACUGAACAUCAGCUAGCAGAUAUUCUUACAAAACCUCUUGAUGCAGGCCGAUUCCAUUCCUUGCGUAAGUCUAUUGGGGUUGUAACUCUUCCCUAAUUGUUUUGUUACUUUCUUUUUCUCUCUGGUAUUGUCAUUGUGGUUAGGAUGUUUAGAUUCGGUGUUUUUGGUGUUUAUUAUUAUUGUGGUUGUUUUUGAGGACAUACUACCUUCUCUAUUGUAUGGAUUCCAUGUUAUUGAUGGUUCUAGUUUGGCAUCCUCAACUGUUUUUGUGUCAUGCAUAGUUGUAGGGUUACAUUAUACUCUCUUCGUAUUGGUAGUUUCUUGGAUGAUGCAUUUCAUGUGGUUGGCUUGUCUUUUUCAAUACCUGCAUAACUCCAGUUUUCUAUGGUUUCUUUUCAUGAUCGUUGUUUUUCUCUUACAUUUACUCACCUCUUGUAAGUGGUCAAUUACUCACAAAAUCCCCAGCCAUGUGAAUGUCUUGAGAGCAUACUCAUUUCGCUAAGAACCCGUUGGGGCUGUGAGGGUCAUGCUCUGACGGAUGCACUCAGGAGAUGUUAGUUCUUGUGUUGCACGUUAUCAUGGUAUUGCACUUCUUGAGUGUGUUUUGCCGAAAAGAUGUAGGCUACACCCUACCCUCGUGUUCUGGUAAAAGAUGGAGAUACUUUAUACUCCCACACGGGAAUGGCAUUGUUUUUUAACGAAAAAAAAAAAAAAAAAAAAAAAAUGUCUGUCACACUUGUCUAGUUCGAAGACAAGAAGAAUACCAGUUUUUCGGUGUUUACUUGCAACAGACUUUCAAGGUCUUCCAUGAUCAUGUUUUUAGUUUAUUUUCGGAGGUUGGUAUUGGUCUAUCAGGUUCUUCUACAUGCUUGCAUCAUUCUAGUAAGUACCAUGUCAUGGUGUAUGAUGUCGUUCUUCGAUUUUGCAUUAUCUUGUGGUUGAGGGUUGUUUAUACUGUAUUCGGCUGUAAUUGGAAUCCUUAUGAUAAGUAGAAGUGUUUUCUUGUGAUGUCUCUCAAUAUUUGUUCUUGGUAGUUCUUUGGUAUAUUAUCUGACUGGUUGGGUGGUUCUUCAUUUUUCGGUGUAUAUAUAUAUAUAUAUAUAUUUUUAAAAAAAAAAAAAAAAAAAAAAAAAGGGUUCGUACGAACACUUUCAUGACGUUCGUACGUUUAGGUGGGCAGAUCUUUUUAACCGUACGAACGCUUCUAGGACGUACGAAUGUGAUCUUAGUCAGAUUGUUAGUUUUUGGGUCCCGACGUUCGACCGUGUUCAGAACGUACGAACGUCUGUCAUACAGUCCGGCCAAUUUGUGUUUAAAUUCAAAUUUUUUUUUGAACCAAAGGCUUACUGUUACAUCAAUCGUGCCCCUUUCUUCUCUCUUGCACGAACAUAGGAAGUCUUCACCUUCCCUCAAGGUCUUUUCUUUGGUCUUUCUCUUCUUCUUCUUCUUUGGUGGUUGUUUAUUGCUUCUCUCAAGCAACCUGUUUCUAUUUCUUUGGUAUUGAGCAUGUUCUUGGAUAUUGCUAUUUUCAUAUUAGUUCAAGUUGGUUUCCUUGUUUUGCAGUAAUUUUUUUUUUUGGUAAUGGACCUCUUAUUGGGCCCAUGAUAGGUUUACCCAUGUUUCCCCUAUAAAUAGGGGAGUCUUCUCCUCUUUUACUCCUGUUGUAUCUUCUUAUCUCUUGCUAGUUCUAUCUUUGUUCUUCAGAAUUUUCUAUGGCAGAAUAUGCACUUCAUGGAGUUUUUGUUCCGGCUGUUGGGUAUGUGUCGUUUAUGGUCAUGGAGUACAAAAACAAUGCUAAGGUUUGUCGUUUAUGUCGCGUUCCUCAUGGGUAUGACUAUGAUCAUCGACCUUUACUUCCUUCAUGCAUGGUUCAUGUCAAUCAUUGGGAGAGGCUACCGGGACAUCUUCAAAAUCACAUCUUGGAGUUGGUUGGAUACCCGAAGGUUCCAGGACUUGCUGCUCCUCUUACCGACUGUGGCUUGGACAGCAGAAUUGGGGAGUUAUUUUGUACGAGUGCUGAUAGUCCUGUGCCAACUCGGUGGAAUAGCUAUUCGGCUCGUGCGAAAGCUUUAUGUCCUAUCUUAAGCUUUAUGUUCAUAUGAUCGCUCGGUGGAUUAGACUUCGGCUCAUGCGCAAGCUUACUUCUCCAAGCUUCCUCUAGGUCGUUGGGAACGGGUUUUUCGAAUUCGUUAACUCAAGCCUUAUGUUUUUGUCGUUUUGUCUUUUAUGUUUAUGGAUUUUUCUGUUUGGUUAUUAGUUGACUUUCUGAACUUUUAACAGUUGGGUUCGGUUUAUCUUUUUAUCUGGUUUGUAUUCUUUGUUUGGUAUUGAUUUCUUCUUCUUGGUUAUUGGUUUAUUGUUGUUCUUUUCCUUUGUUGGUUGGUUAUUUUGCUCACUUGUUGUGACAAAAAGGGGGAGAUUUAUGACUCUGAUUACUAACAAUCGUCUUCUUGUUGUUAGGUUAUUUUUGGGUCAUGUUUCAGGUAUGCUACACGUAUGGGGGAGUGAACGUGUUGAUGAUUUUAGACGUUAUAUUGUUAUGGGGGAGUUCGAGUGUCAAAAAUAUUUUGGAGCUCAUGAAGUAUGGGGGAGUUGCUCGAAAGAACUUCUGUUGAAUCCUUGAUUGCUUCGGAAAUUUCUAGUUGCUUCCGUUCGAUCUCUGAUGGUUAAAGCAUCUUCCUAAAGCUGGAUAACAAGAAUUGGUGACUUGUUAUGUGUUUCUAUUUUGAGUGAUUUUGUAGGCAUGUUUUAUAAAUGCCAUGGUUUGGGAUUGUAAGCACGUUUUAUAAGUGCUAUUAGAGUCAUAGGUUUUUGUCACAAAAUCAAUGUCAAAGGGGGAGAUUGAAACCGGCACGAAGUGGUUUGACAUCAAUUUUGUGACAAAGUGUCUUUGGUUAUCUCGCCUUGAAUUCAUUGUUAGGAAAACCAAGAUGUACGCAUGGUCGUCUCGUGUCCUUUUGUCUCUUAGGUCUGUCCAGGAAAAGUUAUUAGGUUCUGGACGUACGUACCGGAUUAGGACGUACGUACGUCCACUGAAGCAGCAAACAUCUUUUGGUCAGGAUGUACGUACGCAGUUAGGACGUUCGUACAUCCAAGUAGGCAGCAGACGUGUUUUCGUAUGGAGACGUACGUACCGAGUUAGAGCGUUCAUACGUCAUGGUAGGCAGCAGGCUUAUUUUUGUGUGGCGACGUUCGAACGUCAUAUCGACGUACGAACGUCCAAAGUCGGUUUGCACUGUUUCGGCCCAUUUUCCUUGGUUUCCAACCCUAAGUAUAAAAAGGGUUUCUCUUCCAAAGAACAAGUCAGUUCUUUGGCCGUCCAUUCUUCUUCUAGUUCAUGUGUUUUGGUUAGGUUUUUGAUAUUGAAAGUGUUUGUGGCUAUUGAACUCAAUUCCCUUCCUUCCCCCUUUUCUCAAUUCAUAUUUUUGUGAUCUUCAAGAGUUAUUGUGAAUUCGGCUUCGAGUCUUCUUGUGUGUUCAUCAAGAAGUCGAGUGUCUUGUGCGUACAUCAAGGUGCUCUGGUGAAGUCAAGGUGUUAGAGAUAACCAGGAGUAUCAACUCUCAGUGAGUGCAGGUAGUUGAUAGGUUUGUACAUCUCUUUUCAUCUAGUGGAUUAUUUUGUUGUCGCGAGGACAACCGUGGACGUUUCCCUGUUUGGGUUUUACCACGUUAAAAAUCUCUGUGUGUUAUUUACUUUGCGUAUUGUUUGUUUGCUUGUUUGAAUUCACAUUUGUUAUACUAGCACUAUUUGUAGUUUCUCACUAUUGGUGUUCCGAAAGUACCUUUUCUGAUUCCCGUUCCCGUUCACGAAGAGAAAGAGAAAAAAAGAGAAAAAGAAAAUGAAAAUGGUGGCGAUUUGGGUUGACUUAUACAACCGACUUUAUCGAGAAAGAUUUUUUUUUUAGGCCAAGAGAUUGAUAGCGUGAUCGCAAACCAACUUGUUGGUCUUAUAGUAUUUCUCAGUAGAGAGAAUAAGAAAAAAAAUAUUUUUUUUGUAUAUAAAUUGUCCCGACGGAUGGAUACUACCCGGAUUGGGCCUUUUUG